UACGUAGGGGGCGAGCGUUGUCCGGAUUCAUUGGCGUAAAGAGCUCGUAGGCGGUCUGUCGCGUCGGUCGUGAAAACUUGGGGCUUAACCCUGAGCUUGCGGUCGAUACGGGCAUGACUGGAGUUCGGCAGGGGAGACUGGAAUUCCUGGUGUAGCGGUGAAAUGCGCAGAUAUCAGGAGGAACACCGGUGGCGAAGGCGGGUCUCUGGGCCGAUACUGACGCUGAGGAGCGAAAGCGUGGGGAGCGAACAGG
Molecule: ribosomal RNA, 253 nt
Filed under: uncultured bacterium
Lineage: Bacteria
Description: partial 16S ribosomal RNA
Rfam family: Bacterial small subunit ribosomal RNA
Source: RNAcentral